AGAGUUUGAUCAUGGCUCAGGAUGAACGCUAGCUACAGGCUUAACACAUGCAAGUCGAGGGGAAACGAUAUUGGAAGCUUGCUUCCGAUAGGCGUCGACCGGCGCACGGGUGAGUAACGCGUAUCCAACCUGCCCACCACUUGGGGAUAACCUUGCGAAAGUAAGACUAAUACCCAAUGACGUCUCUAGAAGACAUCUGAAAGAGAUUAAAGAUUUAUCGGUGAUGGAUGGGGAUGCGUCUGAUUAGCUUGUUGGCGGGGUAACGGCCCACCAAGGCUACAAUCAGUAGGGGUUCUGAGAGGAAGGUCCCCCCANAUUGGAACUGAGACACGGUCCAAACUCCUACGGGAGGCA
RNAcentral lists this ribosomal RNA (354 nucleotides) under uncultured bacterium. RNAcentral's name for it is "bacterial SSU rRNA". It matches the Rfam family "Bacterial small subunit ribosomal RNA", at positions 8 to 350 of the family's 1533-position model. The record is from RNAcentral.